RNAcentral lists this ribosomal RNA (637 nucleotides) under Heteroteuthis hawaiiensis. Its description in RNAcentral is "eukaryotic LSU rRNA". The stretch from base 504 to 637 matches the Rfam family "Eukaryotic large subunit ribosomal RNA", at positions 813 to 946 of the family's 3401-position model. The record is from RNAcentral. Lineage: Eukaryota; Metazoa; Mollusca; Cephalopoda; Sepiida; Sepiolidae.
CCGAGGAGUCCUGGCCGUUCGCGAGUCGUAGGGGCCCCCUCUGACUAACCCCGAAGGCGUAGCGAAAGCGAGAGAGCGUGUUGGAGGGCGUCGACCGGGAGAGGUGUCGUGGCGAAGUCGUGCAGGGGUCGUCGGGGGAAAAGCGGCUUCGGUCGUUUCUUUUCUCGCCUCACCUGCCCUCCGAGCCGUGCCCGAUCCCGCCGGCGCGGUGUCUUGUCUUCUGCGUCGCCCUCUCGUCGCGCAUGUUGCCCGGCAACGGGCGACGACGCGCGGCGACGACGUGCGUGGUUGUUUCCCUCCUGCCCGAGAGGGCAUCGGUUCCAUGGGAAUUGCGGGGCAUCAGCUUCUAUCCUCCUACCGCCCAUCGGUGAGAUCCCGCGGCUUGAACUAGUCCUAUUUUGUCGUCGAGUUUAGGCACUGCACGCGGGCGCAUCACCCCCGGGUCGGCGGUGAAAACCAUUCCGAGUACGACUCGGCCGACUCUGGCGUAGCGAGCGGCCAGGGACCCGAAAGAUGGCGAUCCACGCCCGGUCGGGAUGAAGCCAGAGGAAACUCUGGUGGAAGUCCGAAGCGCCUCUGACGUGCAAAUCGAUCGUCGGAACCGGGUGUAGGGGCGAAAGACCAAUCGAGCCGUCUA